Molecule: ribosomal RNA, 464 nt
Filed under: uncultured bacterium
Lineage: Bacteria
Description: partial 16S ribosomal RNA
Rfam family: Bacterial small subunit ribosomal RNA
Source: RNAcentral
GACGAACGCUGGCGGCGUGCUUAACACAUGCCAGUCGUACGGUAAGGCCCUUUCGGGGGUACACGAGUGGCGCACGGGUGAGUAACACGUGAGUAACCUGCCCACAACUUUGGGAUAACGCUAGGAAACUGGUGCUAAUACUGGAUAUGUGCUCCUGCUGCAUGGUGGGGGUUGGAAAGCUCCGGCGGUUGUGGAUGGACUCGCGGCCUAUCAGCUUGUUGGUGGGGUAGUGGCCUACCAAGGCGGCGACGGGUAGCCGGCCUGAGAGGGUGACCGGCCACAUUGGGACUGAGAUACGGCCCAGACUCCUACGGGAGGCAGCAGUGGGGAAUAUUGCACAAUGGGCGCAAGCCUGAUGCAGCAACGCCGCGUGCGGGAUGACGGCCUUCGGGUUGUAAACCGCUUUCAGCAGGGACGAAGCUUUUUGGGACGGUACCUGCAGAAGAAGCACCGGCUAACUACGU